AUAUUAAUAUAAAUAAAGUCAUAAAUAUAUUAGCAUGGGAUAAUAAAUAAAAAUAAAAAAUAAUAAAUUUAUUAAUAAUUUUAAAUUGGUUUUAUAAUAAAAAUAAAUUUAUAAAGAUUUAAUAGGGAUAGUUGGGGUGAUUCAUAUUUAAUUGUCAGAGGUGAAAUUCUUGGAUUUCUGAAAGAUGAACUUCUGCGAAAGCAUUUCACAAGGAUGUUUUCAUUAAUCAAGAACGAAAGUUGGGGGAUCGAAGACGAUCAGAUACCGUCGUAGUCUCAACUAUAAACUAUACCAACCAUGGAUUAAAUAAUGUUUUAUUAAUUAUUUUAAUUAUUAAUUAAUUUUAAUAAUUUUAAUAAAUAAUUAAUUAUUAUAUAAACUCCUUUAGAACAUUGAAGAGAAAUCAUAAGUGUUUAGGUUUCGGG
This 425-nucleotide ribosomal RNA is filed under the name uncultured eukaryote. RNAcentral's name for it is "partial 18S ribosomal RNA". It matches the Rfam family "Eukaryotic small subunit ribosomal RNA", at positions 772 to 1118 of the family's 1831-position model. The record is from RNAcentral.